UACGGAGGGGGCUAGCGUUGUUCGGAAUUACUGGGCGUAAAGCGCGCGUAGGCGGGCUGGAAAGUUGGGGGUGAAAUCCCGGGGCUCAACCCCGGAACUGCCUCCAAAACUCCCAGCCUAGAGAUCGAGAGAGGUGAGUGGAAUUCCGAGUGUAGAGGUGAAAUUCGUAGAUAUUCGGAGGAACACCAGUGGCGAAGGCGGCUCACUGGCUCGAUACUGACGCUGAGGUGCGAAAGCGUGGGGAGCAAACAGG
This 253-nucleotide ribosomal RNA is filed under the name uncultured bacterium. Its description in RNAcentral is "partial 16S ribosomal RNA". It matches the Rfam family "Bacterial small subunit ribosomal RNA", at positions 524 to 776 of the family's 1533-position model. The record is from RNAcentral.